GGUGCCAGGCACGCUGUCCCUGUAAAUGCAUUUUAUUCAUGACAAAAUGAAGGUGCAAUGCCGUUAGGUGACUCUUCCCAAAGCCCAAGGCUGUGUGGCUCUAGGUCUGGGGAGUUCUGGCAAGGCCAGGACCCCGCAGGCUGGGUGGUCUGGGAGGGUAUAAAGAGACCCUGGGCCUGAGGAGAGCCUGCUGGGGAGGCCUGUCUGGGGGGGUAGCCGUAGUGUUAGCAAAGCAGACAGGCGAGUGAGAGCAGGAAGGGUAGGCAACUGGGGCUCGGGGCCUGAUUAGGAAAGGAGACUGGAGAGACAGGCCUCAGCCACUGGUGGGUCAGGAGCCUUGAAUGCAGAGAAGGGGACUUCAAACCCGAGAACAAGGAAUUCUCACUGUGGUUCAACGGGUUAAGAACUCAUGGGUCCAUGAGGAUACGGGUUCAGUCUCUGGCUUCGCUCAGUGGGUUAAGGAUCUGGCUUUGUGCGAGCUGCAGCAUAGAUCACAGAGGAGGCUUGGAUCUGGUGUUGCCAUUGCUGUGGCUGUGGUGUAGGCUGGCAACUGCGGCCCCGAUUUGACUCCCAGCCUGGGAACUUCUGUAUGCUGCAGGUGCAGCCCUAAAAGGAAAAAAAAAAAAAAAAAAAAAAACAGGAGUUCCCAUUGUAGCUCAGUGGUUGACAAAUCUGACGAGGAACCAUGAGGUUCCGGUUCGAUCCCUGGCCUCGCUCAGUGGGUUAAGGAUCCCACAUUGCCGUGAGCUGUGGUGUAGGUCGCAGACGCGGCUCGGAUCUGGCGUUGCUGUGGCUCUGGCGUAGACCAGCAGCUACAGCUCUGAUUCGAGCCCUAGCCUGGGAACCUCCAUAUGCUGCGGGUGCGGCCCUGGAAAAAAGACAAAAAAAAACCAAAAAACAAAAAAACCCCUGAGAACAGGGCUCUUCCCAGGGGGUUUGGGAGGCAGAGACACAGGGGCUCUGACGUCAGCAACCCUUUCUCCCGCCAGCCAAAGACAGCAGCGUUCCCAAGCGCAAGAGAAAGCGGGUCUCUGAAGGGAACUCCGUCUCCUCUUCCUCCUCGUCUUCCUCUUCCUCCUCCUCGAACCCGGAGUCGGUGGCGUCCACCAAUCAGAUCUCACUCGUGCAAUGGCCAAUGUACAUGGUGGACUACGCCGGCCUGAACGUGCAGCUCCCGGGACCUCUGAACUACUAGACCUCAGUGCUGAAUCAGGACCUCACUCAGAAAGACUAAAGGAAAUGUAAUUUAUGUACAAAGUGUAUAUUCGGAUAUGUAUCAAUGCCUUUUAGUUUUUCCAAUGAUUUUUACACUAUAUUCCUGCCACCAAGGCCUUUUUAAAUAAGUAAAAAAAAAAAAAAAAAAC
Molecule: long non-coding RNA, 1364 nt
Filed under: Sus scrofa (pig)
Lineage: Eukaryota; Metazoa; Chordata; Mammalia; Artiodactyla; Suidae
Description: lncRNA (ENSSSCG00040026911.1)
Source: RNAcentral